This 497-nucleotide ribosomal RNA is filed under the name uncultured bacterium. Its description in RNAcentral is "partial 16S ribosomal RNA". It matches the Rfam family "Bacterial small subunit ribosomal RNA", at positions 28 to 507 of the family's 1533-position model. The record is from RNAcentral.
GAUGAACGCUGGCGGCGUGCCUAAUACAUGCAAGUCGAGCGAACGGACGCGACGCUUGCUUCUCUGAUGUUAGCGGCGGACGUGUGUGUAACACGUGGAUACCCUCCCUAUAAGACUGGUAUCACUUCGGGAAACCGGCGCUAAUACCGUAUAAUCUUUUGAACCGCAUGGUUCAAAAGUGAAAGACGGUCUUGCUGUCACUUAUCGCUGCAUCCGCGCUGCAUUAGCUAGUUGUUAAGGUAACGGCUUACCAAGGCAACGAUGCAUAGCCGAACUGAGAGGGUGAUCGGCGACAUUGGAACUGAGACACGGUCAAGAGGACUGAGGGAGGCAGCAGUAGGGAAUGUGCGGCAAUGGGCGAAAGCCUGACGGAGCAAGGCCGAGUGAGUGAUGAAGGUCUUGGGAGCGUAAAAAUCGGUUAUUAGGGAAGAACAGAUGUGUAAGGAACUGUGCACAUCGUGACGGUACCGAAUCAGAAAGCAACGGCUAACUACGUG